RNAcentral lists this unclassified non-coding RNA (21 nucleotides) under Dictyostelium discoideum. The record is from RNAcentral. Lineage: Eukaryota; Evosea; Eumycetozoa; Dictyosteliales; Dictyosteliaceae.
GGGCAGGUUAGUUUUACCCUA